GUGGGGAAUAUUGGGCAAUGGGCGAAAGCCUGACCCAGCAACGCCGCGUGAAGGAAGAAGGCUUUCGGGUUGUAAACUUCUUUUGUCAGGGACGAAAAAAAUGACGGUACCUGACGAAUAAGCCACGGCUAACUACGUGCCAGCAGCCGCGGUAAUACGUAGGUGGCAAGCGUUAUCCGGAUUUACUGGGUGUAACGGGCGUGUAGGCGGGAAAGCAAGUCAGAUGUGAAAACUAUGGGCUCAACCCAUAGCCUGCAUUUGAAACUGUUUUUCUUGAGUACUGGAGAGGCAGAUGGAAUUCCUAGUGUAGCGGUGAAAUGCGUAGAUAUUAGGAGGAACACCAGUGGCGAAGGCGAUCUGCUGGACAGCAACUGACGCUGAGGCGCGAAAGCGUGGGGAGCAAACAGGAUUAGAAACCCCUGUAGUCC
Molecule: ribosomal RNA, 428 nt
Filed under: uncultured bacterium
Lineage: Bacteria
Description: partial 16S ribosomal RNA
Rfam family: Bacterial small subunit ribosomal RNA
Source: RNAcentral